Long non-coding RNA from Vidua chalybeata, 1524 nucleotides. RefSeq lists it as uncharacterized. The transcript has 3 exons. The record is from RefSeq and is a predicted model, not a curated record. NCBI's taxonomy places the organism in Eukaryota, Metazoa, Chordata, Aves, Passeriformes, Viduidae.
UCCUGUUUACAGUGGGCUGGAGCAGUCACAGAAUUGUCAGGGCUACUUUCUGUCUCGGUGUGAUUGGAAAUAAGACUGAAAACGGUACCUUAGCAAGAAGAUGUACAUAAGCCUCUAAAGUUAGGUUUUCAAGAGACAAAAGAAACACAAACAAGAAACAUGGGUACUCACCAUGUUCUUAUAACACCAGCUAAGAGGGUUUUGACGUAUGUUGAGAUCAGAGAGCAAGAUGCAUGCUGCAUCACGGGACCAAGGAUCUUAUGAGGAUAUUUAGUAUCUAUAAUAUACCAUCUGUAUGUGAUUUAAGUCACUCUCAAAGGUGCAACCCUUUUGCUUACUUAUUCUGUGUUUUUUAUUGAAAGGCUGACUUGUAUGUGCAAGCAUCAGUUUGUGGACCCAGUGAUGACUUAAGGACUAUUGCCUAGAGACUUCUAAGGGGUUUUUGCAGUUUGUACAGAUUUGUACAGAUGCCCUUUAUCCUUCAUAGUCUUCUACAUCCAACUAGAACUGCUUAUAUUUUUAGUUCCAGAAGUUUCUGCUUUGAUCAUGAUGGUGACUGUGCAUCCAUCACCAUCAUGCAUAGUGGGUGUGUAAUAUUUAAAGGGACUAAACUUUGACAAUACUGUUUCCUUAGGUCUCACAACGCUGUAUGUAAAAUAAAGGAGUAUGAACUAUUCAGUACCUUACUUAUAUACCAAAUUAUUCAUUGCACUUACUUAUAUGAUCUGGUAUAUUGGAAUUUUUUUUGACACACUGAUAAGUACAUAUUUUGUAGAAAUUUUACAAAAUGGGAUCAAAAGUUGUAUUUGUGUCUCCCUUCCUUUUUUUUGUUCUUUGAAAGGAAAGUAUACAUAUAUAUAUAUGUGUAUCUGCAAAGUAUUUGGGACUGAAAAGUAUAGAAUUGUUUUCUUAAAUAUUUUCUGCUUUCUGCAUUGAGAGAUCCUUAGGUUACUGAAAUCUCUUCAGCAUUUUUUCUAAACUCCUCUUCAAAAAUGAAGAGACACAAGACUUUGCAUUUUGGGUCUGUUAAUUCAAACAAGAAAUCAUGCCAAUGGAAACUAAUUCAAGAAAAAAACUUGGUGCUCAGAACAUAAAUGGGACUUAGAAAUGCAGCUCCUAGAAUUUCCAGCCUGGUUCAGUUAGACUAUCAUAAUAAAAUGGAGUGACUAUAAUUGCUACCUAGUUAUAACUGUGUAUUUUCAUUAAUUACCUUUUCUCACAGACAUGUAAGCUUACACAUUUGUGCAUUAAGAUUCAGGCCAUGUUUUUUAUUAUUCUUUUUCAAACCUUGGUAUCCUUGUGUGUAUUUGCUCAAAAGAGAAGCCAAGACAAACCAUUUACUUUCUCUGCAUUUACCAAAAUUUAUUAAAUUAGUGGUGCAAAGAGCACUUACUUCACACCUGCACAUCAGACCCACUGCAAAUAAUAUUCUAGUACCAUUCCUGCUACUCCUUCUUGCCUCAUAUAUUAAUUUUAAAUAUCUUCUUCUGGUUCCUCUGUAUGUGAAACUGUUUAAAAUAAAGA